Molecule: ribosomal RNA, 403 nt
Filed under: uncultured bacterium
Lineage: Bacteria
Description: partial 16S ribosomal RNA
Rfam family: Bacterial small subunit ribosomal RNA
Source: RNAcentral
AUUGAACGCUGGCGGCAGGCCUAACACAUGCAAGUCGAGCGAGCGGCGGACGGGUGAGUAAUGUAUGGGGACUGCCCGAUAGAGGGGGCUAACUACUGGAAACGGUGGCUAAUACCGCAUACUAUCGGAUAACCCAUAUGGGAUUAGCUAGUAGGUGGGGUAAAGGCGCACCUAGGCGACGAUCUCGAGCUGUGCUGAGAGGAUGAUCAGCCCAACUGGGACUUAGACACGGCCCAGACUCCUACGGAGGCAGCAGUGGGGAAUAUUGCACAAUGGGCGAAAGCCUGAUGCAGCCAUGCCGCGUGGAUGAAGAAGGCCUUAGGGUUGUAAAGCACUUUCAGCGGGGAGGCGUUACCUGCAGAAGAAGCACCGGCUAACUCCGUGCCAGCAGCCGCGGUAAUUC